GACAGAGGGUGCAAACGUUGUUCGGAAUUACUGGGCGUAAAGCGAGUGUAGGCGGUUUCGUAAGUCGGAUGUGAAAGCCCCGGGCUCAACUCGGGAAGUGCACUCGAUACUGCGAGGCUAGAGUAUCGGAGAGGUUGGUGGAAUUCUCGGUGUAGAGGUGAAAUUCGUAGAUAUCGGGAGGAACACCGGUGGCGAAGGCGGCCAACUGGACGAAUACUGACGCUGAGACUCGAAAGCGUGGGGAGCAAACAGG
RNAcentral lists this ribosomal RNA (253 nucleotides) under uncultured bacterium. Its description in RNAcentral is "partial 16S ribosomal RNA". It matches the Rfam family "Bacterial small subunit ribosomal RNA", at positions 524 to 776 of the family's 1533-position model. The record is from RNAcentral.